Long non-coding RNA from Impatiens glandulifera, 479 nucleotides. RefSeq lists it as uncharacterized. NCBI's taxonomy places the organism in Eukaryota, Viridiplantae, Streptophyta, Magnoliopsida, Ericales, Balsaminaceae. The transcript has 3 exons. The record is from RefSeq and is a predicted model, not a curated record.
CCAAACCUGCACAAGCCAAGCCAAGCCAAGCCAGCGGCGGCACCUUAAGUCCUAACUAAAUCCUCUAGCUAGGCAGCCAGCCCUUCUUCGUACGUAGCUGUUUGGAACUGUAUUCAGCCACUACUCUCCACAGCGGCACCCUAAAUCCUAUAGCUCCCAUCGCAGUUCGCAAAUCUCGAAGAUCGAUCUGCUCUCGGAGGAGGAACGAACCCUUCAAAGUCCACCGGUUCUGUCUAGUAGUAAUCAUUAUGCCUGCUCGAAAACUUUCAUCCAUUGGAGCUACUUUGAUAAAGGGUCUUCUGGCAAGAGGAGGUCGAACACCUAUACCUACACCUACACGUAGAAAGGAAUGUACAAAUGUUUCUCAAGUUCGGUUGCUGGAACAGCUGGUUAGUGUUUUCUAUCUCUAGUUCUUUCUCCUUUUUUGUUGCUAGUAUUUACAAUUUUGAUGUCAAUAGGUCUUCCGGAAAAUUAGAUUA